Molecule: long non-coding RNA, 1350 nt
Filed under: Sus scrofa (pig)
Lineage: Eukaryota; Metazoa; Chordata; Mammalia; Artiodactyla; Suidae
Description: lncRNA (ENSSSCG00045031787.1)
Source: RNAcentral
GUGCUUGCCCUGAGCGACGGCUGUCCACACGCCACAGCCCGGGAAACCCUCGCCCUCUCCAGCCCCAGGGUCCCGACCUCGGUGAGCCCUCGGUGCAUCUCACUUGGAGCGUGGCAGUAGCCGCGGCUUCUCUCCGCUUUCUGUGUAGUUGACACCGGCGCCGCGUGGGUGGAAGGCGCCAGCCCCAAGGCUUGCCGUGCACCAACCGUGGAGCGAUUGCCAGUGGUCCCCGUACGUUUAGAGACCAUCCUUCAUCUCCCACAGAUACCAAAAAAGGGCUUCUUUCCUGGCGAUGAGAGCUUUUGGCAGCUGCUUUCUUAGUAAUUUUCAAAUACACCCAGCAGCAGCAUCAACUACGGUGGGUGAAGGUGUGGGCCCUGCAGGUCUCGACUGUCAGCCCCCGGAGUCUGUACUCUUUCCUGAUUCAGGGUUGCAGCCGGACCCCUGAGCCCAGGACAGAGGGGACCGGGCGAGGGACCGCGGCAGAGGCAGAGGAGUCUGGCUGGUGAGGCUCCCGCGUUCGCCACACCUGCCCCCGUUUCUUAGCGGUACUUCCAAGACGCAGCGGCGUUUGCUCCAUCUUACAUAUUUUAUGUGAAAUAAAUGCCUUUGUUCUGCCUGUUUUCUCUGGAUGUCUGGAUGCUCGCUGAGUGCUGAUAACGUUGACCAGUUAAUGUAAUCCGUGUGUGUUUUAUAGCAGAAACGUUUCUUUCAUACGUCUUGUUCCUAAUGUUUUCCUUUCAGAGCAAAUACUUGGCUUCCUUAAGUUUAACUUGAAAUCAUGCUCAGUGAACAGAUUGUUUCUUUGCUAAAAAAGAUGGCUUGGUGUCUUUCCAACCAGCCCGCCUCCCUGUUACUUUUCCAGUCUUCUGUGGCUGCUGGAGUCCAGAGGAAAGGUGCUUCUCGUGGCUCCUGAGGCGCUCGUGAGUGUGCCCUGUGCCCGGGGUCGCCCUGGGCGCACCUGCUCACAUUCACAUGUGCUUGAUUCUCCGAGGGUUCCAACGGACCAGCUGAGGUCCCGCACUUAACCUGUGCCCAGCGGUUCGCUUUUUCACCUAAGCAAAUGGUCUGAUUUGGUAAAAGCAAUUUAUUGAUUGAGCCCUGUUAUACUAAAAGAAAGAUACUUCCGCACGUAAGAUAAAGUACGUCAUUUACGUGUGUUUUCAAGUGGGUUUAGGAUGUUGGCCGGGCUGGCGGCCCUCCGCAGACAGGCGUGACCUGGAGAACGAGGACCAGACGUGGUGACACUCUGCCCUCCCUGAGCCUUGAUGCCAAGCCUCCCCCACCCCGCCCCCCAGGCUUGGGACAGAGGCAUAGAAUAAACACGAAACACGUCGAUUCCGAUGUUCA